RNAcentral lists this ribosomal RNA (768 nucleotides) under Limnonectes kuhlii (Kuhl's wart frog). RNAcentral describes it as "partial 16S ribosomal RNA". It matches the Rfam family "Bacterial large subunit ribosomal RNA", at positions 1538 to 2536 of the family's 2925-position model. Lineage: Eukaryota; Metazoa; Chordata; Amphibia; Anura; Dicroglossidae. The record is from RNAcentral.
AAAUAUAUUAAACCCUUUAUUACUACUGAAUGACUCUAUAACCUAUAGAAGUCCUGAUACUAGAACUAGUAACAAGAAAUAGCAUUUCUCCAAAAUAUAAACAUAAGCCUAAACGGACAAACCAUUGGCAAGUAACGUCUAUUAAAUCACUGUAGUAACCCCACAAGAAAACUCUACAAAUACAAACGUUAACCUUACACAAGUAUAUUUCAGGAAAGAUUAAAAGAAAGGGAAGGAACUCGGCAAAUCUCAACCCCGCCUGUUUACCAAAAACAUCGCCUCUUGAUAAACUAUAAGAGGUCCAGCCUGCCCAGUGAUAUAAUUAAACGGCCGCGGUACCCUGACCGUGCGAAGGUAGCAUAAUCACUUGUUCUUUAAAUAAGGACUAGUAUCAAUGGCAUCACGAGGGUUUUACUGUCUCCCCUCUCUAAUCAGUGAAACUGACUUCCCCGUGAAGAGGCGGGGAUAUAAUUACAAGACGAGAAGACCCCAUGGAGCUUUAAACCCACUAACAACCUCUAACUAAACACACCCACGUAAAUGAAGCGUAAUGUACAGUGGUUUUAGGUUGGGGUGACCACGGAGUAAAACCAAACCUCCAUGACGAACGGAAAUUCAUCCUAAUCCAUGAGCCACCACUCUAAGAAUCAAAAACUUGACAUAAUAUGAUCCGGUAACCGAUCAACGAACCAAGUUACCCUGGGGAUAACAGCGCAAUCCAUUUCAAGAGCCCCUAUCGACAAAUGGGUUUACGACCUCGAUGUUGGA